UUGUUGCAGUUAAAAAGCUCGUAGUUGGACUUUAGGCAAGGCGGCCUGGUCACCCUCUGGGUGUACUGGGAUCGCUGCGCCUCACCUUCGGGGAGCUAGUCGUGCUUCGGUGCGCUAGGGAACCGAGCCUUACCUUGAGGAAAUUAGAGUGUUUAAAGCAGGCUUAUGCUUGAAUACGUUAGCAUGGAAUAACAUGAUAGGACUUUGGUUCUAUUUUGUUGGUUUGAGGACCAAAGUAAUGAUUAAUAGGGACAGUUGGGGGCAUUAGUAUUCAAUAGUCAGAGGUGAAAUUCUUGGAUUUAUUGAAGACUAACUAAUGCGAAAGCAUUUGCCAAGGAUGUUUUCAUUAAUCAAGAACGAAAGUUAGGGGAUCGAAGACGAUUAGAUACCGUCGUAGUCUUAACCAUAAACUAUGCCGACUAGGGAUCGGUGGAAGUCGAUUUUGACUCCAUCGGCACCUUACGAGAAAUCAAAGUUUUUGGGUUCUGGGGGGAGUAUGGUCGCAAGGCUGAAACUUAAAGGAAUUGACGGAAGGGCACCACCAGGAGUGGAGCCUGCGGCUUAAUUUGACUCAACACGGGAAAACUCACCAGGUCCGGACAUGG
Molecule: ribosomal RNA, 605 nt
Filed under: uncultured eukaryote
Lineage: Eukaryota
Description: SSU rRNA
Rfam family: Eukaryotic small subunit ribosomal RNA
Source: RNAcentral